Paramuricea clavata is the source of this 347-nucleotide non-coding RNA. NCBI's taxonomy places the organism in Eukaryota, Metazoa, Cnidaria, Anthozoa, Malacalcyonacea, Plexauridae. The record is from the annotation of a GenBank genome assembly.
GGCUAGUGGAUGUAAUUUGUAAUUACCACAACUGUUUAAAUUCUCUCUUUAAAAUAUUCACCAUGUGUAAUGACGAUCAGCAAAAAUAUCCUCUUCUGUCCUUUCAUGCUCACAAUCAUCAAGUACAUUUGUCUCUCUCCAACUCCAAUUAUCCUGUACACCCCCUUUAUCCUCCUGCUCACCCUCCAUCUCAAUAUCCCAACAUUCAUCCCCAGGAAGGCAAUCCAGUUUAUAAUAUUGGUUAUAAUAGUUGCCAACACCCUCAGAGUCCCAUUUUGCCCCGUUAUGUUCCCCAUCGUCCUCGUCGUCACCAGGCCAUUCAUUUUCAGCCCGUGUGUACAUCACAG